AACGAACGCUGGCUGCAUGCCUAACACAUGCAAGUCGAACGAGAUCUUCGGGUCUAGUGGCGCACGGGUGCGUAACGCGUGGGAAUCUGCCCUUUGGUUCGGAAUAACAGUUGGAAACGACUGCUAGUACCGGAUGAUGACGAAAGUCCAAAGAUUUAUCGCCAGAGGAUGAGCCCGCGUAGGAUUAGCUAGUUGGUGUGGUAAAGGCGCACCAAGGCGACGAUCCUUAGCUGGUUUGAGAGGAUGAUCAGCUACACUGGGACUGAGACACGGCCCAGACGGCUACGAGAGGCAGCAGUGGGAAAUAUUGGACAAUGGGCAAAAGCCUGAUCCAGCAUUGCCGCGUGAGUGAUGAAGGCCUUAGGGAUGUAAAGCUCUUUUACCCGGGGUGAUGAUGCCAGUACCGGUAGAAUAAGCGCCGGAUAUCUCCGAGCCAGCCGCCGCCGUAA
Molecule: ribosomal RNA, 449 nt
Filed under: uncultured bacterium
Lineage: Bacteria
Description: partial 16S ribosomal RNA
Rfam family: Bacterial small subunit ribosomal RNA
Source: RNAcentral